This 1851-nucleotide long non-coding RNA is filed under the name Arabidopsis lyrata. RNAcentral's name for it is "long non-coding RNA (ALYR_LNC002442)". The record is from RNAcentral. Lineage: Eukaryota; Viridiplantae; Streptophyta; Magnoliopsida; Brassicales; Brassicaceae.
UUUUGGUAAAAUAUAAAAAUUUAUACUAGAUUUAAGAUUUUAUACAAAAAACGGAAAUAAAAUAAAGAGAAACACAAAAGCAAAACCAUGCAGCAAACAAUAGUACUGUAGAAGGCCGUAAAGGAUGAAAUUAACGAAAUGAGCUAGAAAGCUCUGACGGAAGAAAACACUAGAAAACCGUUGAUGUUGCCACGAGUUAACCGCGAUCCGAACUUACCCUUUCAAAUAUCAUUAGAAUCGAGUUAGAGAAGGUAAAAGAUGACAAAAAGAGAGUUUGAAAUCAAUUAUUGGACUGUUUAAAUAGAGAAACAAAAUAAAACAUUUCACCCAAACUAAUAUUAAUUGAAUGAGUCUCUCGAUCUUAAAAUUGAAUUACACUGUUAACUUUUUUUUGUUUUGGUAAAAUGUAAAAAUUUAUAAUAGAUUUUUGACUUUUUACAAACGCGGAACUAAAAAAGAGAAACAUAAAUCUAAAAACUAUGCAGCCCUGCAAAAGGCCACAAAAUAUGAAAUGAACGAAAAUAGCUAGAACGUUAUGACAGAAGAAGAGAAGCAAAAACCGUUGAUGUUUUCACGAGUGAACCGCGAUCCGAAGUUAGCCUUUAAAAUAUCAUUAAGAUCGAGUUAGAGAAGGUAAUAGAUGACAAAAAGAGAGUUUGAAAUCUUUUAUUGGACUGUUUAAAAUAAAGAAACAGAGCAAAACAUUUCACGAAACUGAUAUUACCUGAAUGAAUAUCUCGAUCUUAAAAUUGAAUUACAAUCUUAACUUUUUUUUAUUUUGGUAAAAUGUAGAAAAAUUAUAUCAUAGAUGUUUUACAAAACCGGAAAUAAAACAUACAAAAACAUUAUAAAAAAAAACCAGGAAGCAAACAACAGUACUGCAAAAGGCCAGAAAAGAUAAAAUUAACGAAAAUUGCUCGAAAUUCCUGAUGGAAGAUGACACGAGAAAACCUUUGAUGUUGCCACGAGUGAACCGCGAUCAUAACCCAACCCUUAACAUAUCAUUAAGAUCGAGCUAGAGAAGAUAAAAGAUGACAAAAAAAAAAAGAGUUUGAAAUCAAUUUUUGGAAUGUUUAAAAUAGAUAAACAAAACAAAAAAAGUUCAGCUAAACUGAUAUUAAUCGAAUGGAUCUCUCGAUCUUAAAAUUGAAUUACACUCUUAACUUUUUUUUUGUUUUUGGUAAAAUAUAAAAAUUUAUACAAGAUUUUUGAUUUUUUACAAACACGAAAACAAAACGAAGAGAAAUAUAAAACUAAAAAAAAACUAAGCAGCAAAAACCAAUAUUCGAGAAGACCAUGAAAGAUAAAAUUAACCAAAGGAGCAAGAACGUUCUGGCGGAAGAAGACACGAGAAAACCGUCGAUGUUGCCACGAGUAAAUUGCUAUCCUAUCGUAGCUUUUAACAUAUCAUUAGGAUUGAGUUAGAGAAGGUAAAAGAUGACAAAAAGAGAGUUUGAAAUCAAUGUUUGGACUGUUUAAAAUCGAUAAACAAAAAAGAAAAGUUCACCCAAACUAACAUUAAUUGAAUUGAUCUCUCGAUCUUAAAAUUGAAUAACACUUUUAACUUUUUUGUUUUGGUAAAAUAUAAAUAUUUAUACUAGAUUUAAUAUUUUAUACAAAAACAGAAAUAAAAUAAAGAGAAACAUAAAACGAAAACCUAUGCAGCAAACAACAGUACUGUAGAAGGCUGUAAAAGAUGAAAUUAACGAAAGGAGCUAGAAAGCUUUGCCGGAAGAAAACACUAGAAAACCGUUGAUGUUGCCACGAGUGAACCGCGAUCCGAACCUACCCUUUCAAAUAUCAUUAGGAUCCAGUUAGAGAAGGUAAAAGAUGACAAAAGAGAGUUUGAAA